RNAcentral lists this transfer RNA (82 nucleotides) under Bacteroidia bacterium. RNAcentral's name for it is "tRNA-Leu". It matches the Rfam family "tRNA". From Rfam's summary of the family: Transfer RNA (tRNA) molecules are approximately 80 nucleotides in length. Their secondary structure includes four short double-helical elements and three loops (D, anti-codon, and T loops). The record is from RNAcentral. RNAcentral also lists the same sequence under 2 other names. Lineage: Bacteria; Pseudomonadati; Bacteroidota; Bacteroidia.
GGGGAUGUGUUGGAAUUGGCAGACAAGCAUGUCUUAGGAACAUGUACCGCAAGGUGUAAGGGUUCGACUCCCUUCAUCCCCA